Molecule: long non-coding RNA, 783 nt
Organism: Salvia miltiorrhiza (redroot sage)
Lineage: Eukaryota; Viridiplantae; Streptophyta; Magnoliopsida; Lamiales; Lamiaceae
Exons: 3
Source: RefSeq, a predicted model, not a curated record
CAAAAUCAGAAAUCUAGGGUUUCAAGUUUCACUUUGAAUUUCUCUUCCUCCGGUGAAUCUCGCCGCCGCCGCCGCUGCCGCUGCCGCUGCCGCUGCCGCUGCUCGACCGUUCCUCACGCCCUCUGCUCUCACCGUUUCAGGUAUUCCUUCUCUCUUACUCGUUCUCUCUCCCCUUGCCAUCUACGCUUCCUCCCCGAUCUCCCUCCACCCCCUGCUCUCGUUCGCGGCACCGCCGCGAAUUGCCGCUGCGUAUCCUUGCUAUGGUAUCCUCAUCGCUGCUCCUGUCGAAAGCUCGCGGCAGUUCGGCAGUCGCCGAGGAAAUCUCGGCUGCGGCGGGCGAUGAGAGCGUGAUUCGAGAAGAUAAGCUGCGGAGCACAAGGAAUCGUCGGCGACAUACGACUGGACCGAGGAAUGGUAUCCGCUGUACCUCGCGAAGCAAGUAUCGGACGACGCGCCGCUAGGGCUCACCGCGACAUCUGCCGCGAACCGCCGCUGCUCGAGCAGCACCAGCGGUCGUCGCCGCCAGUUGCACCUCCGCCGUGGAAUCGACCGAAUGUCGAACGUUGUCGAUUCGAGGGUGAGAAAUGAGCAAAGAGGUCUGGGCUCGCCCCUGCCUCACCCAGAGUCCAGACGGCCACCGUGAGCCGGCUUCGCCCAGCCAGAGCCAAAUUAGUGUCGGAUUUCUCCAAUUCUCUCUGAUAAACUAGUUGACUAUCUAUAGAGGUCACCACUGCCUAAGAGAGGAGAUGUGGAGCCUGGGGAGAUUCCUACGUUGCUCGAGUU